RNAcentral lists this ribosomal RNA (1139 nucleotides) under Phytophthora citricola. Its description in RNAcentral is "eukaryotic LSU rRNA". The stretch from base 137 to 291 matches the Rfam family "5.8S ribosomal RNA". The record is from RNAcentral. Lineage: Eukaryota; Oomycota; Peronosporomycetes; Peronosporales; Peronosporaceae.
UGGCGGCUGCUGCUGGGUGAGCCCUAUCAUGGCGAGCGUUUGGGCUUCGGCCUGAGCUAGUAGCUUUUCUUUUAAACCCAUUCCUUAAUACUGAUUAUACUGUGGGGACGAAAGUCCUUGCUUUUAACUAGAUAGCAACUUUCAGCAGUGGAUGUCUAGGCUCGCACAUCGAUGAAGAACGCUGCGAACUGCGAUACGUAAUGCGAAUUGCAGGAUUCAGUGAGUCAUCGAAAUUUUGAACGCAUAUUGCACUUCCGGGUUAGUCCUGGGAGUAUGCCUGUAUCAGUGUCCGUACAUCAAACUUGGCUUUCUUCCUUCCGUGUAGUCGGUGGAGGAGAUGCCAGAUGUGAAGUGUCUUGCGGCUGGUUUUCGGACCGACUGCGAGUCCUUUUAAAUGUACUGAACUGUACUUCUCUUUGCUCGAAAAGCGUGGCGUUGCUGGUUGUGGAGGCUGCUAUUGUAGCAAGUUGGCGACCGGUUUGUCUGCUGCGGCGUUAAUGGAAGAGUGUUCGAUUCGCGGUAUGGUUAGCUUCGGCUGAACAAUGCGCUUAUUGGAUGUUUUUUCUGCUGUGGCGUGAUGGACCGGUGAACCAUAGCUCAGUUGCUUGGCUUUUGAAUCGGCUUUGCUGUUGCGAAGUAGAGUGGCGGCUUCGGCUGUCGAGGGUCGAUCCAUUUGGGAAAUGUGUGUGUACUUCGGUAUGCAUCUCAAUUGGACCUGAUAUCAGGCAAGAUUACCCGCUGAACUUAGCAUUCCCUAAAAAGGGGGAAAAAACNCCCACCUAAAAAACUUUCCACGUGAACCGUUUCAAACCAAAUAGUUUGGGGGUCUUGUCUGGGUGGCGGCCGCCGGGCUUUUAUUGGUUUGGCCGCGCCGCUGGGGUGAACCUAUCAGGGCGAGGUUUUGGGGCUUCGCCUGAGCUAGUAGCUUUUCUUUUAAACCAUUCCUUAAUACUGAAUUAUACUGUUGGGGGACGAAAGGUCUUGCUUUUUACUAGAAUUGCACUUUCCCAGUGGGAUGUCUAGGCCCCAUCGAUUAAGAAAGCUCCAAAUGCCAUACUUAAUGGCAAUUGCAGGAAUUCUUGGAGUCCCCAAAUUUUUGAACCCAAUUGCAUUCCGGUUAAACCCGGGGAAAUUAGCCG